CCUACGGGAGGCAGCAGUGAGGAAUAUUGGUCAAUGGACGCAAGUCUGAACCAGCCAUGCCGCGUGCAGGAAGACGGCUCUAUGAGUUGUAAACUGCUUUUGUACGAGGGUAAACGCAGAUACGCGUAUCUGUCUGAAAGUAUCGUACGAAUAAGGAUCGGCUAACUCCGUGCCAGCAGCCGCGGUAAUACGGAGGAUUCAAGCGUUAUCCGGAUUUAUUGGGUUUAAAGGGUGCGUAGGCGGUCGGAUAAGUUAGAGGUGAAAUCCCGAGGCUCAACUUCGGAAUUGCCUCUGAUACUGUUCGUCUAGAGAGUAGUUGCGGUAGGCGGAAUGUAUGGUGUAGCGGUGAAAUGCUUAGAGAUCAUACAGAACACCGAUUGCGAAGGCAGCUUACCAAGCUACUUCUGACGUUGAGGCACGAAAGCGUGGGGAGCAAACAGGAGUAGAUACCCCAGUAGUC
This 460-nucleotide ribosomal RNA is filed under the name uncultured bacterium. RNAcentral describes it as "partial 16S ribosomal RNA". It matches the Rfam family "Bacterial small subunit ribosomal RNA", at positions 338 to 795 of the family's 1533-position model. The record is from RNAcentral.